GAACAUCGACAUUUUGAACGCAUAUUGCGGUCCAUACUGACUAGUUUCUUUAUUGAAGCUGUAUGGACCACACAUGGUUGAGGGUCGUUAGUUUACGCUAACUGAAUUGCUUUUUAAUUAAAGCUACAUCAUGAGGUGUUGUCAACCUUCAGUGUGUUGACAUCCCUUGAAAAUACCUUUGGUACACAAUUUUAUCUAUUGUGAAUGCUUGUUUUAUCAAAGAAAACAAAUAUCCAACGUCUCGAUCAUUUGAAUGAACGAUUUUGUACGGCUAGUAAACUUUGACUAAGCGUUUAAACAUAAUAGUUUACGUAUUUGAAUGCUAACCUGAACACUGUACAGAAUCAAUUCGUUAAUUUAUUCAAUGAAUCAGCAUGAGACACACACAAGUGCCUGGAUAUUUAUUCGUUAAUUUUCUUUGAAGCAAAAAAACAGUCCCAUCUUAAACGCGGGUGGCAUUCAAAACAAACAAUGGAUUCAAUUGAAUACAACCAAUAAAGCGACCUCAACUCAUGUGAGACU
RNAcentral lists this ribosomal RNA (522 nucleotides) under Katatopygia erythropyga. RNAcentral's name for it is "eukaryotic LSU rRNA". The record is from RNAcentral. Lineage: Eukaryota; Metazoa; Arthropoda; Insecta; Diptera; Mycetophilidae.